AGAGUUUGAUCAUGGCUCAGAUUGAACGCUGGCGGUAGGCUUAACACAUGCAAGUCGUGCGAGAAAGUAUCUUCGGAUAUGAGUAAAGCGGCGGACGUGUGAGUAACGCGUAGGAAUCUACCUAGUAGAAGGGGAUAGCCCGGGGAAACUCGGAUUAAUACCGUAUACCUCCUUUGGGAGAAAGAGGGCCUCUCUUUGAAGCUUUCGCUAUUAGAUGAGCCUGCGUAAGAUUAGCUUGUUGGUGGGGUAAAGGCUCACCAAGGCGACGAUCUUUAGCGGGUCUGAGAGGACGAUCCGCCACAUUGGGACUGAGACACGGCCCAGACUCCUACGGGAGGCAGCAGUGGGGAAUAUUGGACAAUGGGCGCAAGCCUGAUCCAGCCAUACCGCGUGUGUGAAGAAGGCCCUAGGGUUGUAAAGCACUUUAAGUUGGGAAGAAAAGUUAUUGGUUAAUACCCAAUAACCGUGACAUUACCAUCAGAAUAAGGACCGGCUAAUUCCGUGCCAGCAGCCGCGGUAAUACGGAAGGUCCAAGCGUUAAUCGGAAUUACUGGGCGUAAAGCGCGCGUAGGUGGUUUAUUAAGUUGGAUGUGAAAUCCCCGGGCUCAACCUGGGAACUGCAUCCAAAACUGAUUCACUAGAGUACGAUAGAGGGAGGUAGAAUUCACAGUGUAGCGGUGGAAUGCGUAGAUAUUGUGAAGAAUACCAAUGGCGAAGGCAGCCUCCUGGAUCUGUACUGACACUGAGGUGCGAAAGCGUGGGUAGCGAACAGGAUUAGAUACCCUGGUAGUCCACGCCGUAAACGAUGUCAACUAGCUGUUGGAAAACUAUGUUUU
RNAcentral lists this ribosomal RNA (836 nucleotides) under marine metagenome. Its description in RNAcentral is "bacterial SSU rRNA". It matches the Rfam family "Bacterial small subunit ribosomal RNA", at positions 8 to 839 of the family's 1533-position model. The record is from RNAcentral.